This 163-nucleotide ribosomal RNA is filed under the name Paphiopedilum druryi. RNAcentral's name for it is "5.8S ribosomal RNA". It matches the Rfam family "5.8S ribosomal RNA". Rfam says of the family: 5.8S ribosomal RNA (5.8S rRNA) is a component of the large subunit of the eukaryotic ribosome. Lineage: Eukaryota; Viridiplantae; Streptophyta; Magnoliopsida; Asparagales; Orchidaceae. The record is from RNAcentral.
UAACAACUCUCAGCAACGGAUAUCUCGGCUCUUGCAUCGAUGAAGAACGCAGCGAAAUGCGAUAAAUGGUGUGAAUUGCAGAAUCCCGAGAACCAUCGAGUCUUUGAACGCAAGUUGCGCCCGAGGCCAUCAGGCCWAGGGCACGCCUGCCUGGGCAUUGCGA